UGUUAAGGGAUGGGAAUCGAACCCACAGUGUUCCGCUUACCGAGCAGAUGCCAUGUCCACUAGGCUACCCUGGAC
This 75-nucleotide transfer RNA is filed under the name Cordylochernes scorpioides. RNAcentral describes it as "tRNA-Thr". The record is from RNAcentral. Lineage: Eukaryota; Metazoa; Arthropoda; Arachnida; Pseudoscorpiones; Chernetidae.